GUACACAAAAAGUCUUAGGAGAUACCAUGAUCACAAAGGUAGUUUCCUGGGAAAGUAUCAUUCAUUAUACUACAGAUAUAUUGAUCCCUGUGAGUUUUCCAAAUGUAGAAAAUUCCACAACAUGAUUUCUGAAUAGGGGGAAUCUUCUUGCUCUCCUCU
Molecule: non-coding RNA, 159 nt
Organism: Arvicanthis niloticus (Nile rat)
Lineage: Eukaryota; Metazoa; Chordata; Mammalia; Rodentia; Muridae
Source: RefSeq, a predicted model, not a curated record